Molecule: ribosomal RNA, 250 nt
Filed under: uncultured bacterium
Lineage: Bacteria
Description: partial 16S ribosomal RNA
Rfam family: Bacterial small subunit ribosomal RNA
Source: RNAcentral
UACGUAAGGGGCAAGCGUUGUUCGGAUUAACUGGGUGUAAAGGGUCCGCAGGCGGCCUGGCAAGUCGGGUAGUGAAAUCCCGGGGCUCAACCCCGGAAUUGCUCUCGAGACUGCCUCGCUUGAGUGCGAGAGAGGUAAAUGGAAUUCCUGGUGUAGCGGUGAAAUGCGUAGAUAUCAGGAGGAACACCGAUGGCGAAGGCAAUUUACUGGCUCGCAACUGACGCUCAUGGACGAAGGUGUGGGGAGCAAA